GAAUAGGACCCUGUCCUCCUAUUUUCAGUUGGUUUGCCGCGAGGACCAGGGUAAUGAUUAAUAGGGAUAGUUGGGGGCAUUAAUAUUUAAUUGUCAGAGGUGAAAUUCUUGGAUUUAUGAAAGAUUAACUUCUGCGAAAGCAUCUGCCAAGGAUGUUUUCAUUAAUCAAGAACGAAAGUUAGGGGAUCGAAGACGAUCAGAUACCGUCGUAGUCUUAACCAUAAACGAUGCCGACCAGCGAUUAGGAGACGUUGAAUACAAAACACCACCAUGCGCAUUGCGGUCGUCUUUGGUGUCGCUCACAAGGCGGCACCGGGGCGGCUUAGCUCGCAUGGCACCGGUGAAUGACU
RNAcentral lists this ribosomal RNA (350 nucleotides) under Acanthamoeba genotype T3. RNAcentral describes it as "SSU rRNA". The stretch from base 1 to 298 matches the Rfam family "Eukaryotic small subunit ribosomal RNA", at positions 812 to 1116 of the family's 1831-position model. Lineage: Eukaryota; Discosea; Longamoebia; Acanthamoebidae. The record is from RNAcentral.